CCCAGGAUAUCUAGAGGAAAGGGGGAAACCCUUUUCAUCUUCAAAAAUCAGCAAUUAAGGGGAGGAAUUGAAGCUAACUAUCUGCAUGUUCAUCUUUCUCUAAUCAUCUUAGCAUUCUAAACAUGAGGCAUAAGGAUCAUGUGGAAAUGGACUCAAGCAAGAAAGGCAAAAGGGUAAAAAGGAGGCAAGGGAACGGACGCAAAAAGGUUGUACGAAUCACGGGCGGUUAUCACGAGGAAUAGAGAUCGAAGACCGAGUCACAAGAUAGAUUGUACGGGAAUAAUUGAGUAUGUACUAUUAGUAAACAGGACUUAUGCUUUAUUUUUGUAAAAGAUACAUAUUAAGACGAACUUUCAAGUAAGUCCAGACGUUUGUAACGAAAGAAAUUUUAU
This is a long non-coding RNA of Helianthus annuus (common sunflower), 392 nucleotides long. RefSeq lists it as uncharacterized. The transcript is spliced from 3 exons. The record is from RefSeq and is a predicted model, not a curated record. NCBI's taxonomy places the organism in Eukaryota, Viridiplantae, Streptophyta, Magnoliopsida, Asterales, Asteraceae.